AAUUCUCAACCUUAUUAGCUUUUGCUGAUAAUGGCUUGGACUUGGGGGUCUUUUGCUGGCUUUCAUUAGUCUGCUCCCCUUAAAUGUAUUAGCUGGCGCCCCGCAGUGGACCGUCUAUUGGUGUGAUAAUUAUCUACGCCGUGGAUGUCUGCUUUCAAUGGGUCUUUGCGCUGCUUCAAAUCGUCCUCUCGGACAAUACAAAUGACA
Molecule: unclassified non-coding RNA, 207 nt
Filed under: uncultured Agrocybe
Lineage: Eukaryota; Fungi; Basidiomycota; Agaricomycetes; Agaricales; Bolbitiaceae
Description: sequence contains ITS2
Source: RNAcentral